Long non-coding RNA from Xenia sp. Carnegie-2017, 254 nucleotides. RefSeq lists it as uncharacterized. The record is from RefSeq and is a predicted model, not a curated record. NCBI's taxonomy places the organism in Eukaryota, Metazoa, Cnidaria, Anthozoa, Malacalcyonacea, Xeniidae. The transcript has 3 exons.
GUAGAGUAAAAUAAUGGUCGUUGAAAUUGAUAAGAGAAUUAUAGUUUUUAUUUCAUUGUGUAUUAUAGACACUGCUUCUGCCUACAAGAAUGAAGAAGACAUCGGAAAAAGCUUGAAAACAUUGUUACCAAAAUAUGGUCUUAAAAGAUCUGACAUAUUCAUAACUAGCAAGCUUGUAAUUGGUGAAGAGAGGACACGUAUUCCUUAAUAGACAAGACGACACUGCUUCUGCCUACAAGAAUGAAGAAGACAUC